RNAcentral lists this long non-coding RNA (622 nucleotides) under Salmo salar (Atlantic salmon). RNAcentral describes it as "lncRNA (ENSSSAG00000109889.1, ENSSSAG00020055313.1, ENSSSAG00075012732.1)". Lineage: Eukaryota; Metazoa; Chordata; Actinopteri; Salmoniformes; Salmonidae. The record is from RNAcentral.
GAAAGUCCAUUCUGUCACUCAAGGCACCUCUGUCAAAUGGCACAUCCUGCUCUUUGCUACCGCGGAUAUUUGAAAUUGGAUUUACCAAUAUUUUCUAAAUGCAAAGUAUAGCUACAGAUUUCAGUACCAGUGUUGUCCUGAAUACAGCUGCUGGUAUCAACACAGCUCUGUCUUCUGUGGCUAAAGCAGUCUGGACUGGUUGAAGCAGAGUGGGAAAGAUUAUUUUGAAAGUGUUUCAGUUUGCUGUGAAUCAUCAUAAUCUAUACAUCGGACCUGAGCCCUAGGACCAUGCCUCAGGACUACCUGGCAUGAUGACUCCUUGCUGUCCCCAGUCCACCUGGCCGUGCUGCUGCUCCAGUUUCAACUGUUCUGCCUGCAGCUAUGGAACCCUGACCUGUUCACUGGACAUGCUACCUGUCCCAGACCUGCUGUUUUCAACUCUCUAGAGACAGUGGUAGAAAUACUCUCAAUGAUCGGCUAUGAGAAGCCAACUGACAUUUACUCUUGAGGUGCUGACUUGUUGCACCCUCGACAACUACUGUGAUUAUUAUUAUUUGACCAUGCUGGUCAUUUAUGAACAUUUGAACAUCUUGGCCAUGUUCUGUUAUAAUCUCAACCCGGC